GUAGGUGGCAAGCGUUGUCCGGAAUUAUUGGGCGUAAAGCGCGCGCAGGCGGUUCUUUAAGUCUGAUGUGAAAGCCCACGGCUCAACCGUGGAGGGUCAUUGGAAACUGGAGAACUUGAGUACAGAAGAGGAAAGCGGAAUUCCACGUGUAGCGGUGAAAUGCGUAGGGAUGUGGAGGAACACCAGUGGCGAAGGCGGCUUUCUGGUCUGUAACUGACGCUGAGGCGCGAAAGCGUGGGGAGCAAACAGGAUUAGAUACCCUGGUAGUCCACGCCGUAAACGAUGAGUGCUAAGUGUUAGGGGGUUUCCGCCCCCCUUAGUGCUGCAGCUAACGCAUUAAGCACUCCGCCUGGGAGUACGACCGCAAGGUUG
Molecule: ribosomal RNA, 372 nt
Filed under: uncultured organism
Description: partial 16S ribosomal RNA
Rfam family: Bacterial small subunit ribosomal RNA
Source: RNAcentral